RNAcentral lists this ribosomal RNA (590 nucleotides) under Neoechinorhynchus yamagutii. RNAcentral's name for it is "SSU rRNA". It matches the Rfam family "Eukaryotic small subunit ribosomal RNA", at positions 577 to 1143 of the family's 1831-position model. Lineage: Eukaryota; Metazoa; Acanthocephala; Eoacanthocephala; Neoechinorhynchida; Neoechinorhynchidae. The record is from RNAcentral.
CGGUAAUUCCAGCUCGAAAAGCGUAUGUUAAAUUUGCUGCGGUUAAAAAGCUCGUAGUUGGACGUCAGGAGAUGAACUGUGCGCUGUCAUGUCAACUAAUGGCGUGUACAGCAUUGCACUUGCUUCAUUCCUUUGAUUUCGCUUUCCUAUCGCGUCUUCCAAUUGGUUUUGGGAGGCGCAAAUAAAAAGGAGGCGAGUGACUACUUUGAGAAAAUUAGCGUGCUUAACGCAAGCGACUUGCUUGAAUACUGUUGCAUGGAAUAAUGAGAUAGGACCUUGGUUCUGUUUCGUUGGUUUCCGGAAGCCGAGGUAAUGAUUGAUAGGGAUAAACGUGGGCAUUCGUAUUGUGGUGUUAGAGGUGAAAUUCGAUGAUCACCGCAAGACGUACAACUGCGAAAGCAUUUGCCAAGAAUGUUUUCAUUAAUCAAGAACGAAAGUUAGAGUUUCGAAGACGAUUAGAUACCGUCCUAGUUCUAACUAUAAACUAUGCCAACUGGGCAUCUGGCGCUUGCAAUAAAGCAUCGCCAGGCACCCCGCGGGAAACCAAAGUUAUUGGGUUCCGGGGGGAGUAUGGUUGCAAAAUCGAACAC